Long non-coding RNA from Ailuropoda melanoleuca (giant panda), 1345 nucleotides. RefSeq lists it as uncharacterized. The transcript is spliced from 4 exons. The record is from RefSeq and is a predicted model, not a curated record. NCBI's taxonomy places the organism in Eukaryota, Metazoa, Chordata, Mammalia, Carnivora, Ursidae.
CAGCUCUUCAACGACUCACAAGCCCUCAGGAACUCAUCAGGAGGAGCCCACUGAAUAUCAAAUAUCCAGCAGAAUUAAAUGAGAAGAAAAUCUGCUGGUUGAUGGCAACUCUACGUGCGCAAUUCUUGACUUCAAGUACUGUUCAACUUAAUGAGUGGCUAGAAUAUGGCCGUACCACAGAGGAGGGCAGGACCAAGACAAUAACUGUGAGAUCAGAGGAACCUUUAGAAAUCUGAGGAUCAUCCCUCGAGAGAUGGGCUGAAACAACCUUGGACCAGGACACCUCUUUGAAUAUUCAGCAGCUGAAAUGACCUUCUUUGAAUUAUUGCUUGAGGACACAAAGCCACCUGGGUGAUCUCAGCUCAAAUCAAGCACCUACGGCCGCAAAUAUAAGACUGAAAAACCAAUGAGGAAUCCUGAAACCAACUUAUCUCUUUAAUUUGGCAGCAAGCCUAACUCUCUGGACUAAGUAUGGCUAGCUUCAGCUUUUUUGGCUUUAACCUAAUAUAAAUUAGCACAAGAAACCAGGAAAACUUCAGAGAGAAAAUACAGUUAUGGUGAAGGCAUCUACCCUCUCCGAAUUUAGCCACAAGCUGUAAGACAUGCAGCCAUUUGGUGGCAUUUAGCAAGAAGAAAUUUAGGUGCCCAUGUGGUACAUCUUGGUGAUGCAUUCGAGCCUAUUUACUCUCGAUUAUUUUUAAAAUCAAGACUUUCCAACGAAGGAAGAUGACAAUUCUUUACCCAAUUUCGAGACAAUUAUCUUCUCUGCAGAAUUCCCUGAGUGGUGGCAUUAUACAUUGUACCCACAUAAGCUUGAUUCACUCUUUGGCUGACAACAAGAUUUAAAUUUAUCUGUCUUCGAUGUUAACACUAAAUUAACACAAAAGUUAUUCAAAAGUUCUUUAAAAAACACAUUCUGACAUCUUUUUGGUGAGAAAAACAAAGUAACCUCAUAGGCUUUUACAUAAGACAGAUCUAACAAGUGAUUUCUAUGACCUUGGCACUACUAAGUGAUACGCUAGGAACAUCAGGACUCAUUUAUGCAAUCAUCUGAAUAUAAAUAUAUAUAUGGGUAUAUAUAUUUUUUCUGAUGGUUCAAGUUAUGUACUGCAGCUACAAUUAUUAUUUCUUGCUGAUGUUAACGACAGUGCAAUUAAAAACAUAGAAAUACAAGUUUGGGUCAUUUUAAGACUACUUUCAGAAAGAUAUCAAACAACAGAAGUCAUAUUUGUAGAUGAAUACAUUAGCUGCUUCUUAUUCAUCAACUCUUUGAUGUAUAUACUCUCUUUUAUUUAAUUCCUUGAACUUGCCUUUAUCUGGAAAGAAACAUAUUAAUAAGCACUAA